This 254-nucleotide ribosomal RNA is filed under the name uncultured bacterium. RNAcentral's name for it is "partial 16S ribosomal RNA". It matches the Rfam family "Archaeal small subunit ribosomal RNA", at positions 474 to 727 of the family's 1478-position model. The record is from RNAcentral.
CACCGGCGCCACAAGUGGGGACCAGUUUUAUUGGGCCUAAAGCGUUCGUAGCCGGCUAUGUAAAUCCUUUGUGAAAGCGUCUCGCUUAACGUGACGGAUUGCAGGGGACACUGCAUAGCUAGGGAUCGGGAGGGGUUUGGAGUAUUUUGUGGGGAGCGGUAAAAUGCAAUAAUCCACAAAAGACUACCUGUGGCGAAGGCGCCAAACCAGUACGAAUCCGACGGUGAGGGACGAAGGCUAGGGGAGCGAUCCGG